AGAGUUUGAUCAUGGCUCAGGACGAACGCUGGCGGCGUGCUUAACACAUGCAAGUCGAGCGGAAAGGCCCUUCGGGGUACUCGAGCGGCGAACGGGUGAGUAACACGUGAGUAAUCUGCCCUUGGCUUUGGGAUAACUACCGGAAACGGUGGCUAAUACCGGAUACGACCGAUCCCUGCAUGGGGUGUUGGUGGAAAGUCUUUUCGGCCAGGGAUGUGCUCGCGGCCUAUCAGCUUGUUGGUGGGGUAAUGGCCUACCAAGGCUUCGACGGGUAGCCGGCCUGAGAGGGUGACCGGCCACACUGGGACUGAGACACGGCCCAGACUCCGUACGGGAGGCAGCAGGUGGGGAAUAUUGGACAAGUGGGCGGAAGCCUGAUCCAGCAACGCCCGCGUGGAGGGAUGACGGCCUUCGGGUUGUAAACCUCUUUCAGUACCGACGAAGCGCCGAUGAUGGUGGUGACGGUAGGUACAGAAGAAGCACCGGCCAACUACGUGCCAGCAGCGGC
This 508-nucleotide ribosomal RNA is filed under the name uncultured bacterium. RNAcentral's name for it is "bacterial SSU rRNA". It matches the Rfam family "Bacterial small subunit ribosomal RNA", at positions 8 to 518 of the family's 1533-position model. The record is from RNAcentral.